GCUCAGGAUAACGCUGGCGGCGUGCUUAACACAUCAAGUCGAACGAUGACUUCUGUGCUUGCACAGAAUGAUUAGUGGCGAACGGGUGAGUAACACGUGAGUAACCUGCCCUUAACUUCGGGAUAAGCCUGGGAAACCGGGUCUAAUACCGGAUACGACCACCUGGCGCAUGCCAUGGUGGUGGAAAGCUUUAUGCGGUUUUGGAUGGACUCGCGGCCUAUCAGCUUGUUGGUUGGGGUAAUGGCCCACCAAGGCGACGACGGGUAGCCGGCCUGAGAGGGUGACCGGCCACACUGGGACUGAGACACGGCCCAGACUCCUACGGGAGGCAGCAGUGGGGAAUAUUGCACAAUGGGCGAAAGCCUGAUGCAGCGACGCCGCGUGAGGGAUGACGGCCUUCGGGUUGUAAACCUCUUUCAGCAGGGAAGAAGCGAAAGUGACGGUACCUGCAGAAGAAGCGCCGGCUAACUCGUCC
Molecule: ribosomal RNA, 475 nt
Filed under: Arthrobacter luteolus
Lineage: Bacteria; Bacillati; Actinomycetota; Actinomycetes; Micrococcales; Micrococcaceae
Description: bacterial SSU rRNA
Rfam family: Bacterial small subunit ribosomal RNA
Source: RNAcentral